RNAcentral lists this antisense RNA (162 nucleotides) under uncultured Neisseria sp. RNAcentral's name for it is "NrrF RNA". It matches the Rfam family "NrrF RNA". Lineage: Bacteria; Pseudomonadati; Pseudomonadota; Betaproteobacteria; Neisseriales; Neisseriaceae. The record is from RNAcentral.
CACUCGGAAGCCGUUCUGCUGCGAGUCAUUAAACAAACGAUUAUCCCUCUUCAUUCAUUUACCCUUCGGAGUGCGCAUAUACGAGAAAUACUGUUCCCUUUAUAUCAGAUACUCAAAACCGAAAAACACAAAACCCGCUGUUUCACACUGCGGGUUUUGUGU